UGGGGAAUAUUGCACAAUGGAGGGAACUCUGAUGCAGCGACGCCGCGUGAGUGAUGAAGGAAUUCGUUUCGUAAAACUCUGUUCUAUGGGAAGAAAAGGACUGUACCAUAGGAGAAAGCUCCGGCUAAAUACGUGCCAGCAGCCGCGGUAAUACGUAUGGAGCGAGCGUUGUCCGGAAUUAUUGGGCGUACAGGGUGCGCAGGCGGCUUUACAAGUUGGAUGUGAAAUAUUGUGGCUCAACCACAAACGUGCAUCCAAAACUGCAAAGCUUGAGUUAAGGAGAGGUAAGUAGAAUUCCUGGUGUAGCGGUGGAAUGCGUAGAUAUCAGGAGGAAUACCGGUGGCGAAGGCGACUUACUGGACUUAAACUGACGCUCAGGCACGAAAGCGUGGGGAGCAAACAGG
Molecule: ribosomal RNA, 404 nt
Filed under: Fusobacteriota bacterium
Lineage: Bacteria; Fusobacteriati; Fusobacteriota
Description: Fusobacteria bacterium partial 16S ribosomal RNA
Rfam family: Bacterial small subunit ribosomal RNA
Source: RNAcentral